GGGCCCCGCCACAAGCCGGAGGGAACAUGUUGGUUUAAUUCGAUGAUACGCGAAGGAAACUUUACCUUGGCUUAAAUGCAGAGCGACAUUCGCCGAAAGGUGGAUUCCUUCGGGCGAUCUGCAAGGUGCUGCAUGGCUGUCGUCAGCUCGUGCCGUGAGGUGUCGGGUUAAGUCCCAUAACGAGCGCAACCCUUAUCGUUAGUUGCCAGCGGGUAAUGCCGGGGACUCUAACGAAACUGCCGGUGUAAACCGUGAGGAAGGUGGGGAUGACGUCAAGUCAGCACGGCCCUUAUGUCCAGGGCUACACACGUGUUACAAUGGCCGGUACAAAGGGCAGCUACCACGCGAGUGGAUGCUAAUCUCCAAAACCGGUCUUAGUUCGGAUUGAAGUCUGCAACUCGACUUCAUGAAGCUGGAUUCGCUAGUAAUCGCGCAUCAGCCAUGGCGCGGUGAAUACGUUCCCGGGCCUUGUACACACCGCCCGUCAAGCCAUGGAAGCUUGGGGUACCUGAAGUCCGUAACCGCAAGGAUCGGCCUAGGGUAAGACAAGUGACUGGGGCUAAGUCGUAACAAGGUAACCAAGGGCGAA
This 589-nucleotide ribosomal RNA is filed under the name uncultured organism. RNAcentral's name for it is "bacterial SSU rRNA". It matches the Rfam family "Bacterial small subunit ribosomal RNA", at positions 916 to 1510 of the family's 1533-position model. The record is from RNAcentral.